ACAAAUCGUCCCUGACCUCUCCCACCAUAUAUUGCAGUAAAGCCCUUCAUUGUUUCUCUUUAGACCUUGCUUUCGAAAGUCAAAGAAGAAUUGGAGGCAGAAAAGCGGGAACUCGUGAGAACCCCGGAAAAGAGAUCUCUGGAAGUAGAAUAUCUAAAUGAUGACUUGAAGCAGCUGAAUGAUAAAUUAGUGGAAGUGAACACCUCCAAGAUGGCUCUGCAGAUGAAGGUGGAGGAACCUGAAGCUUCAGAAGUGAAUAUUAAGUACAAGGAGAAGCAUAUGGAACAAGAGAAGGAGCCCCUGCAUGGCCAGAUGUCUUGGUUUAAAGAGGAGCUGAAGGCAAAGAC
Molecule: long non-coding RNA, 347 nt
Organism: Cyprinodon variegatus (sheepshead minnow)
Lineage: Eukaryota; Metazoa; Chordata; Actinopteri; Cyprinodontiformes; Cyprinodontidae
Exons: 4
Source: RefSeq, a predicted model, not a curated record